UGUAUAGAAUGCAGUAUAUUUCGCUCACGCGGAGAAAAUCCGCUACGUCACUUCCUCUUUCCUUUGCAGCAUCUAAGAAGACUUUUCUUCCACGAUGAGAGCCAAGUGGAGAAAGAAGCGUAUGCGAAGGCUCAAGCGUAAAAGGAGGAAGAUGAGGGCAAGGUCAAAGUAGAUGCCCUCAUCCUGCCCUGAUGGCUGUACAGACUUCCAUCAGUGUCCCAUCGACCACCCUUCAUCUCCACGUCGCACUACUGGGUUCCAGACUGACACCACCAGACUAUCAUAUCAGCUUCUGACUCCAUCUUGAAUGGAGCAGGGCAGCGGGAGAGGAAGAGACGAGAAGAGGAAGAAGAUUAUGUUAAAGCGUGGACAUUCUCCAGGUUUUGCAUCUUGGUGUUGUGGCGUGUGCAGAUAUUCUUGUACAGGUCCAGCACUGGCCCCUGUUCUACAAGUGACUUCCCUUACCUCUACAGCAUCAGCAGCAACAGAAAACAGCAACAGCAACAACACGUCUCUGUAGCUACGGGGCCAGAGAAAUGAGAUUGUCACUGGAGGAAGACUGGGCUCUGAAGGAGCAUGGCUUGAUUCUGCUUGUGAAGGACAAUACCAUCAGUCUAGGGUGUUUGAGCGUGGGAGUGACUCCCCAGGUUCAGCAUAGGCUCCCGUUGCCAAGGAGACACUUUAGCUUGUAGUCCAGGGGCCUUGUGGAUAGAGGGGUACACUUUGAUGAUGAUGAUGAUGAUGAUGAUGAAUGUCAGUGCGUGUUGGUUGUAUGACUGGCAGGCAUGACACCCCCUCUAUUCACAAUUGUUUGGAACUCAGUUUUGUGAUUAUUCAUCAUUGCAGGGAGUUUGUGUGGUUGCAUCAGGGAAAAAAAAACAUGUACAGAUACUAGCUAAAAUAAAUGUUAAAUCUGUGCA
This is a long non-coding RNA of Haliotis rufescens (red abalone), 920 nucleotides long. RefSeq lists it as uncharacterized. The transcript is spliced from 4 exons. NCBI's taxonomy places the organism in Eukaryota, Metazoa, Mollusca, Gastropoda, Lepetellida, Haliotidae. The record is from RefSeq and is a predicted model, not a curated record.